Molecule: ribosomal RNA, 2441 nt
Filed under: Rhizobium sp. RAS22
Lineage: Bacteria; Pseudomonadati; Pseudomonadota; Alphaproteobacteria; Hyphomicrobiales; Rhizobiaceae
Description: 23S ribosomal RNA
Rfam family: Bacterial large subunit ribosomal RNA
Source: RNAcentral
GUCGGCCAUAGAGGGUGAUAGCCCCUUACGCGUAGAACAGUCAUUGUCCUUGAGUAGGGCGGGACACGUGAAAUCCUGUCUGAACAUGGGGAGACCACUCUCCAAGCCUAAGUACUCGUGCAUGACCGAUAGCGAACAAGUACCGUGAGGGAAAGGUGAAAAGCACCCCGACGAGGGGAGUGAAAUAGAACCUGAAACCGGAUGCCUACAAACAGUCGGAGCCCGCAAGGGUGACGGCGUACCUUUUGUAUAAUGGGUCAACGACUUAGUGUAACUAGCAAGCUUAAGCCGGUAGGUGUAGGCGCAGCGAAAGCGAGUCUGAAUAGGGCGAUUGAGUUAGUUGCAUUAGACCCGAAACCGAGUGAUCUAGCCAUGAGCAGGCUGAAGGUUGGGUAACACCAACUGGAGGGCCGAACCCAUAACUGUUGCAAUAGUUCGGGAUGACUUGUGGCUAGGGGUGAAAGGCCAAUCAAACUCGGAAAUAGCUGGUUCUCCGCGAAAUCUAUUUAGGUAGAGCGUCGACCGAAUACCCUCGGGGGUAGAGCACUGGAUGGGCUAUGGGGACUCACCGUCUUACUGAUCCUAACCAAACUCCGAAUACCGAGGAGUACUAGUCGGCAGACACACGGCGGGUGCUAACGUCCGUCGUGAAAAGGGCAACAACCCUGACCUCCAGCUAAGGUCCCCAAGUCAUGGCUAAGUGGGAAAGGAUGUGAGGAUCCCAAAACAACCAGGAUGUUGGCUUAGAAGCAGCCAUCAUUUAAAGAAAGCGUAACAGCUCACUGGUCUAAAUAAGGGUCUUUGCGCCGAAAAUGUAACGGGGCUAAAGCCAUGCACCGAAGCUGAGGAUUUGCAGCAAUGCAAGUGGUAGCGGAGCGUUCCGUAAGUCUGUGAAGGCGGACCCGUGAGGGCUGCUGGAGAUAUCGGAAGUGCGAAUGUUGACAUGAGUAACGAUAAAGGGAGUGAGAGACUCCCUCGCCGAAAGACCAAGGGUUCCUGCUUAAAGUUAAUCUGAGCAGGGUUAGCCGGCCCCUAAGACGAGGCGGACACGCGUAGUCGAUGGGAACCACGUUAAUAUUCGUGGGCCUGGUGGUAGUGACGGAUCUCGUGUGUUGUUCAACCUUAUUGGAUUGGUUGGGCGGCGAAGAGGUUCCAGGAAAUAGCUCCACCGUAUAGACCGUACCCGAAACCGACACAGGUGGUCAGGUAGAGUAUACCAAGGCGCUUGAGAGAACUAUGUUGAAGGAACUCGGCAAAUUGCACGCGUAACUUCGGAAGAAGCGUGACCCUUUUGUACGCAAGUAUGAUGGGGUGGCACAGACCAGGGGGUAGCGACUGUUUAUCAAAAACACAGGGCUCUGCGAAGUAGCAAUACGACGUAUAGGGUCUGACGCCUGCCCGGUGCUGGAAGGUUAAAGGGAGGGGUGCAAGCUCUGAACUGAAGCCCCAGUAAACGGCGGCCGUAACUAUAACGGUCCUAAGGUAGCGAAAUUCCUUGUCGGGUAAGUUCCGACCUGCACGAAUGGCGUAACGACUUCCCCGCUGUCUCCAACAUAGACUCAGUGAAAUUGAAUUCCCCGUGAAGAUGCGGGGUUCCUGCGGUCAGACGGAAAGACCCCGUGCACCUUUACUAUAGCUUUACACUGGCAUUCGCCAAGGCAUGUGUAGGAUAGGUGGUAGGCUUUGAAGCAGGGACGCCAGUUUCUGUGGAGCCAUCCUUGAAAUACCACCCUUAUCUUCGUGGAUGUCUAACCGCGGUCCGUUAUCCGGAUCCGGGACAGUGUAUGGUGGGUAGUUUGACUGGGGCGGUCGCCUCCGAAAGAGUAACGGAGGCGCGCGAUGGUUAGCUCAGACCGGUCGGAAAUCGGUCGUCGAGUGCAAUGGCAUAAGCUAGCCUGACUGCGAGACUGACAAGUCGAGCAGAGACGAAAGUCGGUCAUAGUGAUCCGGUGGUCCCGUGUGGAAGGGCCAUCGCUCAACGGAUAAAAGGUACGCCGGGGAUAACAGGCUGAUGACCCCCAAGAGUCCAUAUCGACGGGGUUGUUUGGCACCUCGAUGUCGACUCAUCGCAUCCUGGGGCUGGAGCAGGUCCCAAGGGUAUGGCUGUUCGCCAUUUAAAGCGGUACGUGAGUUGGGUUCAGAACGUCGUGAGACAGUUCGGUCCCUAUCUGCCGUGGGUGUAGGAAUAUUGACAGGAUCUGUCCCUAGUACGAGAGGACCGGGAUGGACGUAUCUCUGGUGGAUCUGUUGUCCUGCCAAGGGCAUAGCAGAGUAGCUAUAUACGGAAUGGAUAACCGCUGAAGGCAUCUAAGCGGGAAACCAACCUGAAAACGAGUGUUCCCUAUCAGAGCCGUGGAAGACGACCACGUUGAUAGGACGGGUGUGGAAGCACAGCAAUGUGUGAAGCUUACCGUUACUAAUAGCUCGAUCGACUUCUUCGU